UGGACAGAUUAUUGUAUUCACAACGUGAAAUAGGGGAUUACACUGUUUUUAAAACGGAAAGUGAAUCAAUUAACAUAAUAGACUCCU
RNAcentral lists this microRNA precursor (87 nucleotides) under Nicotiana attenuata. RNAcentral describes it as "MIR6152 microRNA precursor family". It matches the Rfam family "MIR6152 microRNA precursor family". The record is from Rfam by way of RNAcentral. Lineage: Eukaryota; Viridiplantae; Streptophyta; Magnoliopsida; Solanales; Solanaceae.